AUUGAACGCUGGCGGCAGGCCUAACACAUGCAAGUCGAGCGGAUGAAGGGAGCUUGCUCCUGGAUUCAGCGGCGGACGGGGGAGUAAUGCCUAGGAAUCUGCCUGGUAGUGGGGGAUAACGUCCGGAAACGGGCGCUAAUAUCGCAUACGUCCUGAGGGGGAAAGAGGGGGAUCUUCGGACCUCACGCUAUCAGAUGAGCCUAGGUCGGAUUAGCUAGUUGGUGGGGUAAAGGCCUACCAAGGCGACGAUCCGUAACUGGUCUGAGAGGAUGAUCAGUCACACUGGAACUGAGACACGGUCCAGACUCCUACGGGAGGCAGCAGUGGGGAAUAUUGGACAAUGGGCGAAAGCCUGAUCCAGCCAUGCCGCGUGUGUGAAGAAGGUCUUCGGAUUGUAAAGCACUUUAAGUUGGGAGGAAGGGCAGUAAGUUAAUACCUUGCUGUUUUGACGUUACCAACAGAAUAAGCACCGGCUAACUUCGUG
This 484-nucleotide ribosomal RNA is filed under the name uncultured bacterium. RNAcentral describes it as "partial 16S ribosomal RNA". It matches the Rfam family "Bacterial small subunit ribosomal RNA", at positions 30 to 507 of the family's 1533-position model. The record is from RNAcentral.